Non-coding RNA from Mycena galopus ATCC 62051, 94 nucleotides. The record is from the annotation of a GenBank genome assembly. Lineage: Eukaryota; Fungi; Basidiomycota; Agaricomycetes; Agaricales; Mycenaceae.
GGCCGUCUAGCUCAGUUGGUUAGAGCGUCGUGCUAAUAUAAACCAGUCCAGUUUGUUAACGCGAAGGUCUUGGGUUCGACCCCCACGAUGGCCA